Long non-coding RNA from Myotis daubentonii (Daubenton's bat), 974 nucleotides. RefSeq lists it as uncharacterized. NCBI's taxonomy places the organism in Eukaryota, Metazoa, Chordata, Mammalia, Chiroptera, Vespertilionidae. The record is from RefSeq and is a predicted model, not a curated record. The transcript is spliced from 2 exons.
AAAUGAUAGUGCAUGUAAAUCAGCGGCCACCUCUCGGAUUGGGUUGUUUAAGACUCGGAAGAAGACUGACAAGCAAUGAUAGGGAGCAUAGCAAUAAACAUAGUGGAUGGAGUGCACACAGAGCCUUGUUCCUAAAAAAGAGGGAGAAGAAAAGGAAGAAGGCAGCAUCCUGACACAGCCCUUUCCUUCAGCUGCCCCUUUCCCUGGAGUUCAAGGUAGAAAUGGGAAACAAGUCCUGUUGCAGUGAGAGGGCAGCUGCUAUCAGCCAGUCUCUAUCUUUACCUGGGUCCCGAUCUGAGCUGGGCGUGGGAAGCGAAGCAGCCAUGGGGGCAGGAGACCUCCCUCAGAAGGGGUGAAGGUUCAGGCCUCUGCAAAGUUGGGGGGUGAGGGCCUGUGCCCCGCCUCUGUUGACCCCCAAGUUGUUUCCUGAUGGCCCCUCUGUGACUGUGCCUGUCUUAGGUUGUUCUUUCCCUGAGGAAUCUUACCCAUCUCUGGCUAGCCAGCCAUCCUCUGGGGCCAAGCAGGGUGAUGUGAGGUGUGCGAAUGAGGGAGGGGCAGCGCCCCCCUGCAAGAGGUUCAGUUCUGUCUCCUUGGUAGCCUAUGCCCCCGUGGCCUCCACGCCCAGCACCUGCCUUGGGCUCCCCUCGCCUGCAAAUGGACUGUGAGAAGAGGGUCCCUCUUGACACAAGGGCAAGAGGGGCCAAUACAGGACAAGGGAGGAACGGCCUGUCAGCAUGUAGUCCCAGGACAGGGCUUUCUCAGCCCAGGAUGUCAGGCUCUUGGUACAAGACAACUCCACGUAUGGGGCAUAUACCAGACACCCCCAGUCACGGCAGAAAAAGGGAGGUUCCCUUCCUGGAACAGUAGGGUAGGGAGAUUCUAGAAAAGGCUGUGUUCAGGAGAGAAGGAGAAAGGCCAAAGAACCAGCAAACAAGUAGUCAGAUUAAAAAAAGAAAAAAUAAAGAAAAAGGAAA